This 304-nucleotide long non-coding RNA is filed under the name Pelusios castaneus (West African mud turtle). Its description in RNAcentral is "lncRNA (ENSPCEG00000017713.1)". Lineage: Eukaryota; Metazoa; Chordata; Testudines; Pelomedusidae. The record is from RNAcentral.
GAUCAGGCAAAGUCCCUCACACCACUCACGGUAGGAUAAUGAUCUGUCCCAUGCUUUCUCCUAAGCUGCUGUCCCCACUGUCCCAGAGAAAGAACAUUCUUCAGAGCCCUACUAUGCUCAGAUCAUGAAGAGGAGCCCGCCGGAGGGUAAUGAGCCGGACCCUUGCUGCCCACGUGAGAGGUCAGAGAGGCCACUGAUCACUGUCUAUGAUCAGAUUCGAAUGGUCCGAGCUGAUUCCUCGGAGCAGCUCACCUAAGCCAGUAGAGAGAAGAGUGCAGCAGAGAUGGUGCUGUCCUGCAAUGUC